This 22-nucleotide non-coding RNA is filed under the name Rattus norvegicus (Norway rat). The record is from RNAcentral. Lineage: Eukaryota; Metazoa; Chordata; Mammalia; Rodentia; Muridae.
UUGCAUUCAAUCCCUGGGACCU